Molecule: ribosomal RNA, 253 nt
Filed under: uncultured bacterium
Lineage: Bacteria
Description: partial 16S ribosomal RNA
Rfam family: Bacterial small subunit ribosomal RNA
Source: RNAcentral
UACGUAGGGUGCAAGCGUUGCCCGGCAUUAUUGGGCGUAAAGAGCUCGUAGGCGGUUCGUCACGUCGGCUGUGAAAACCUGAGGCUCAACCUCAGGCCUGCAGUCGAUACGGGCGGACUCGAGUUCGGCAGGGGAGACUGGAAUUCCUGGUGUAGCGGUGAAAUGCGCAGAUAUCAGGAGGAACACCGGUGGCGAAGGCGGGUCUCUGGGCCGAUACUGACGCUGAGGAGCGAAAGCGUGGGGAGCGAACAGG